CGUUCUUCACUGGCUAGCUUUAGUGCUUCACUCGGGUAAAGCUGCCAGUUGAAGAGCUGU
RNAcentral lists this microRNA precursor (60 nucleotides) under Callorhinchus milii (elephant shark). RNAcentral's name for it is "Cmi-Mir-22-P1a_pre stem-loop". It matches the Rfam family "mir-22 microRNA precursor family", at positions 16 to 74 of the family's 84-position model. Lineage: Eukaryota; Metazoa; Chordata; Chondrichthyes; Chimaeriformes; Callorhinchidae. The record is from RNAcentral.